AAUUGAUAAUACUACUUCAUUGAACUUCAGUUGAUAGUUGCCAAAUUAUCAGUCAUACCACAUCUUCUUACUUGUUAUGAUAUUGUAUACAUGGCUUUUAGUUUCGGGUCUUGUCUAAACAUUUAUGAAAUAUUAGUUGCUUGACGUUAAAAACAAACAACUAACAAUCAAUCAAUUUAAACUCGUGUUCAAUAAGGAGAAAAUCAUUUGAUUUGUUGGGUUAAAAGGGGGAGGUGGCAGGAGUAUUUUGAAUAUGAAUAUGGUGGGCUGGUAAAAGCUGGAAAAAAAAGGCAUGCUUAGCGACAAGUUAAAUCUUUAACAUGAAUAAAAAAUUUCGCAAAAGAUCCUCCUGCCGGCCCCAUUUCCAUCCUUAGAAUAACAAAAGGUCGUACCCUUACUGUAAUUGUCCGUGUGUUUUUA
This 420-nucleotide long non-coding RNA is filed under the name Mytilus galloprovincialis (Mediterranean mussel). The record is from RNAcentral. Lineage: Eukaryota; Metazoa; Mollusca; Bivalvia; Mytilida; Mytilidae.